This is a non-coding RNA of Penaeus vannamei (Pacific white shrimp), 174 nucleotides long. The record is from RefSeq and is a predicted model, not a curated record. NCBI's taxonomy places the organism in Eukaryota, Metazoa, Arthropoda, Malacostraca, Decapoda, Penaeidae.
UGUGUGUUGUGUGUGUUGUGUGUGUGUGUGUGUGUGUGUGUGUGUGUGUGUGUUUGUGAGUGUGUUUGUGUGCAUUAUAAUACAUACAUUCACACACACACACCACCACACACACACACACACACACACACAUAUAUAUAUAUAUAUAAUAUAUUAUUAUAUAUAUAUAUAUAU